RNAcentral lists this ribosomal RNA (588 nucleotides) under uncultured bacterium. RNAcentral describes it as "bacterial SSU rRNA". It matches the Rfam family "Bacterial small subunit ribosomal RNA", at positions 338 to 961 of the family's 1533-position model. The record is from RNAcentral.
CCUACGGGAGGCAGUGGGGAAUAUUGGACAAUGGGCGAAAGCCUGAUCCAGCAAUGCCGCGUGAGUGAUGAAGGCCUUCGGGUCGUAAAGCUCUUUUACCAGGGAUGAUAAUGACAGUACCUGGAGAAUAAGCUCCGGCUAACUCCGUGCCAGCAGCCGCGGUAAUACGGAGGGAGCUAGCGUUGUUCGGAAUUACUGGGCGUAAAGAGUACGUAGGCGGUUAUUCAAGUCAGAGGUGAAAGCCCGGGGCUCAACCCCGGAACUGCCUUUGAAACUAGAUAGCUAGAGUCUUGGAGAGGUUAGUGGAAUUCCGAGUGUAGAGGUGAAAUUCGUAGAUAUUCGGAAGAACACCAGUGGCGAAGGCGACUAACUGGACAAGUACUGACGCUGAGGUACGAAAGCGUGGGGAGCAAACAGGAUUAGAUACCCUGGUAGUCCACGCCGUAAACGAUGAUAACUAGUUGUUCGGUCACUUGGUGACUGAGUGACGCAGCUAACGCAUUAAGUUAUCCGCCUGGGGAGUACGGUCGCAAGAUCAAAACUCAAAGGAAUUGACGGCNGAAGAGUGCGAGACGACACGAGGAGAGG